This is a long non-coding RNA of Oncorhynchus masou masou (cherry salmon), 535 nucleotides long. RefSeq lists it as uncharacterized. The record is from RefSeq and is a predicted model, not a curated record. NCBI's taxonomy places the organism in Eukaryota, Metazoa, Chordata, Actinopteri, Salmoniformes, Salmonidae. The transcript is spliced from 3 exons.
GUCACCGCCUCCAGGAGGUUGAUCGGUUGGAAAUUCUCCAUGCAGUUUUCCCUUUCCCAAUUCCAGAUAAAACUACUUAACACAAUUAAUAUGUUCAAACUCAUAUGGAAAACUAACAGCGAAACAAAUGGCUGUUUACAAUGCAUACAAUGCAGAGUUGGACUUGUAUUUUUCUUAUUAUUUGCAGUAUGCAGAGCGUGUGUCAUUGCUGUGACUGGAUCCGACACCACUACCGUCACUUGAGCGCAUAAUUCCAUUCUCUGCUGGACCAGAUGGGAGGAGAUAUCACAAAGCAGAAUGCCCCUGUCCUUUUCUCAACAUCACUUUACAGACCCAUAGAUGCCGAGUUUGAGGACAAAGUCAGAUUCCGGAACGAGGUCAUCUAUAAAAUCACAAAACUGUUUGAUGGGAAUAAGAAGUCCGUCACCUGGGACAAGAAAAACCUGGACGAUUUACUUAAAAUUCUAGAAAACUAAUUUGAAAACCUUAAUUCCUGUGUAAGUAACGGGUCUAUUUAAAGUAUAAUCCCUGUUCA